GGUGCUGACAACACCAAGUCAAGGGUUAAGAUCCCCUUACCGGUCAUCUUUUAAAAAAAAAAAAAAAGAGAAAAGAGGCCUCCUUGAGGUCAGUGUCCUCUCUUUCUGGGGAGGGACUUGCUUUUUUGCUCCAAUAGUGGCCUCCUCCAGGCUUCAUAGUUCUUUGUAAUAUGUUGAAGUUAAUUUAAACUGAUUUUGUUGAACUGUGUAUUUAAGCUAUGGCAUUAAAAAAGGCUUUCUUCUACAUAAA
Molecule: long non-coding RNA, 250 nt
Organism: Galeopterus variegatus (Sunda flying lemur)
Lineage: Eukaryota; Metazoa; Chordata; Mammalia; Dermoptera; Cynocephalidae
Exons: 2
Source: RefSeq, a predicted model, not a curated record